RNAcentral lists this non-coding RNA (29 nucleotides) under Rattus norvegicus (Norway rat). Lineage: Eukaryota; Metazoa; Chordata; Mammalia; Rodentia; Muridae. The record is from RNAcentral.
UGAAACCUCUGACUACCAUGAAAUAUAAG